AUGGAGGUCCUGGGGCUGUUCCUCUGCCUGGUGGCAGCUCCCUGCUGUGUCCUGUCCCAAAUGCAGCUGCAGGAGUCAGGACCUGGACUGGUGAAGCCUUCACGGACACUAUCCCUCACUUGUGCUGUGUCUGUUUACUCCAUCCUAACCAAUCCUUACCACUGGGCAUGGAUCUCCCAGCCCCCAGGACAGAGCCUGGAGUGGAUGGGGUACAUACUCUAUGAUGGAAGCAUUAACUACAGCCCACCCCCCAAGAGCCGCAUCUCUAUCACCAGAGACACAUCCAAGAACCAGUUCUCCCUUCAGCUGAGCUCUGUGACCACAGAGGACACAGCUGUGUAUUACUGUGCAAGAGACACAGAGAGGGGACUUAAAUGUGAUCCCUGA
Molecule: non-coding RNA, 387 nt
Organism: Castor canadensis (American beaver)
Lineage: Eukaryota; Metazoa; Chordata; Mammalia; Rodentia; Castoridae
Source: the annotation of a RefSeq genome assembly